GCACAUGCGAAAGCAGUUAAAAUCCCCAGACAAUAAAACGAUGGGAUAGAAAAACAUGGCCAUAUUUUUCAUACUGAAAUUUAUAACCAAACUUUUAUACAAAACACAAAUCACUUCAUAACUAUUCACAUCAAAAUGGAGAUCUCAAAAGAAGAUAGGAUCUCAAUCCAUCCAGGCCGUACUCAAGCCCCUCUCGGGACUAUCUUCUUCUUCCAAAAAUCCUUCUCCUCAGAUCUCAUUUUCGAAUUAUCCUUCAUAGACUUCUCCUCCUCAACUCCUCAUCGGGGUCCUGAAAUGUUUUCCCCCCCCAAACAAGGAUGAGACUACGUCUUAGCGAGUUCUACCCCACUAAGCCCGAUUAGUAAACCAUUAUACUAUAGGCUACCUAAACACACACAGGGCAGAGGACUUACCUUGGCCUCAUAUUUCACCUGCAAGUCAGUACAAUUCACAAUAGACACCCAUUUAUUCCAAAUAAAUCGAACCAGUCGAUUACACGUCAUACAAUUCAUUUUCCACGGAGGAGUAUCUAAAAGCUAGGCCACGUGCGUUCUCCAAGACGACAUUCCAAGUCUCCGAGUUCACGUGCCUCGAACCUUGGGCCCACGUGCAUUCUCUAAGGCGACCUCUUCGCCAAAGUGAUACAUCAAGUCACCGAGCCCACGUGUCCUUUUAGAUGCCUGGGCCCAUGUGCAUUCUCUUAGGUGCUAUCUCACCAAAGUGAUGCAUCAAUUCACCGAGCCCACGUGCCCUUUUAGAUGCCAAACUCUGUCACCGAGCCACGUGCAUUCUCCAGGAGGACAUACCGAGUCUCCGAGCCACGUGCAUUCUCUUAGGCGACCUUUUCGCCAAGGUGACAUAUUCAACCACUGAAUUCAUGUGCAUUCUCCAGGUGAUAUUCCAAUUCACCGAGCCCACAUGUCCUCUUUCA
RNAcentral lists this long non-coding RNA (931 nucleotides) under Eucalyptus grandis. RNAcentral describes it as "long non-coding RNA (EGRA_LNC000658)". The record is from RNAcentral. Lineage: Eukaryota; Viridiplantae; Streptophyta; Magnoliopsida; Myrtales; Myrtaceae.